Molecule: ribosomal RNA, 474 nt
Filed under: uncultured bacterium
Lineage: Bacteria
Description: bacterial SSU rRNA
Rfam family: Bacterial small subunit ribosomal RNA
Source: RNAcentral
UGGCUCAGGACGAACGCUGGCGGCGUGCUUAACACAUGCAAGUCGAACGGAAAGGCCCCCUUGUGGGGUACUCGAGUGGCGAACGGGUGAGUAACACGUGAGUAACCUACCCUUGACUUUGGGAUAACUUCAGGAAACUGGGGCUAAUACCGGAUAGGGAGCUCCUGCUGCAUGGUGGGGGUUGGAAAGUUUCGGCGGUUGGGGAUGGACUCGCGGCUUAUCAGCUUGUUGGUGGGGUAGUGGCUCACCAAGGCUUUGACGGGUAGCCGGCCUGAGAGGGUGACCGGCCACAUUGGGACUGAGAUACGGCCCAGACUCCUACGGGAGGCAGCAGUGGGGAAUAUUGCACAAUGGGCGGAAGCCUGAUGCAGCAACGCCGCGUGCGGGAUGACGGCCUUCGGGUUGUAAACCGCUUUCGCCUGUGACGAAGCGUGAGUGACGGUAAUGGGUAAAGAAGCACCGGCUAACUACGUG